GAUGAAGAACGCAGCGAAAUGCGAUAAGUAAUGUGAAUUGCAGAAUUCAGUGAAUCAUCGAAUCUUUGAACGCACCUUGCACCCUUUGGAAUUCCAAAGGGUAUGCUCGUUUGAGUGUCAUUGUACUCUCACACUCUCCGAUCCUUUGGAUUUGGGGAGCGGUGGACUUGGGUGUUUGCUGCUUUCAUUGUGGCUCACCUCAAAUGUGUCAGUGCAUCUCUUGAUUGGACAUAGUACGGCGUGAUAUGUGUCUUUGCCGGCACCUCAUAAGAGGGUGGCCGAUCAGGAGCUCUGUGCUUUCAAACUGUCUUCGGACAAUCUCUGACAACUUGACCUCAAAUCGAGUAGGACUACCCGCUGAACUUAAGCAUAUCAAUAAGCGGAGGA
Molecule: unclassified non-coding RNA, 387 nt
Filed under: soil metagenome
Description: partial contains 5.8S ribosomal RNA, internal transcribed spacer 2, and large subunit ribosomal RNA
Rfam family: 5.8S ribosomal RNA (bases 1-120)
Source: RNAcentral